Molecule: small nuclear RNA, 104 nt
Organism: Suncus etruscus (white-toothed pygmy shrew)
Lineage: Eukaryota; Metazoa; Chordata; Mammalia; Eulipotyphla; Soricidae
Source: RefSeq, a predicted model, not a curated record
CAUCUGGUCACAAUUUCCCUACCAGAAUUGGAACGAUUCAGAGAAGAUUAGCAUGGCCCCUGUGCAAGGAUAACACGCAAAUUCGUGAAGCAUUCCAUAUUAAA